RNAcentral lists this long non-coding RNA (225 nucleotides) under Elaeis guineensis (African oil palm). RNAcentral describes it as "long non-coding RNA (EGUI_LNC055762)". The record is from RNAcentral. Lineage: Eukaryota; Viridiplantae; Streptophyta; Magnoliopsida; Arecales; Arecaceae.
AAAAGAAGUCUGCGAAGAAGCAGAAGGUGGAUGGCAAGAAGAAGAAGAUAGAACCAAAGAAGAAGGCUACUGAUAAAGAAAAAUAUUUUCACUACCAAUCAGACGGCCAUUGGAAGCGGAACUGUCCUCAGUACCUGGCCACCCUGAAGAACAAGAAGGAUGGUCCUUCUAGAGGUAUGCUCAUUUUAGAGUCUAAUCUUAUGGUUUCUUCUACAUCCAAUUGGG